AAACCGUUUAGGGGUAAACCUGAAAAACCCGAAAGGUCGAAGGGAGAAAUUCAUUCGCGUUUCGACGUAGGCGUGGAACGAGAUUGAGUGACGAAAAAUGUGUGCUUGCACGGAUUUUUCGCGCCGCUCGUUUCUCGAACCGAUGACGAACGCGUGCACUUUUCUCCUGGUAGGACGUCGCGAUCCGUUGGGUGUCGGUCUACGGCUCGCGGUGGAGCCCGUUUGUCAUUAAUUUGCGAACGGACCCGCGUUGUUCCCGGCCGACUCGCUCGACGGUAUAAGAAAGGUUUGAGGCCGCUCUUCUGGAGCGUUCGACUCGCGGCAAGCGCGUCAGAUGCGUUGGCGAUCGGACCUAGUGCCGAUUCUGACCUCUGAUGACUGUUGGCUGCGAAGUUCUCGAACAGACCUCUCGACCGAUCUGCGACGCUAUAGCGUUGGGUACUUUCAGGA
Molecule: ribosomal RNA, 450 nt
Filed under: Hylastes brunneus
Lineage: Eukaryota; Metazoa; Arthropoda; Insecta; Coleoptera; Curculionidae
Description: eukaryotic LSU rRNA
Source: RNAcentral